GACGAACCGUGCGAACGUUAUUCGGAAUCACUGGGCUUAAAGCGCGUGUAGGCGGGACGGUGCGUCGGCCGCUGAAAUCCCCCGGCUCAACCGGGGAAGUGGCGCCGAUACGACCGCCCUGGAGCGACGUAGGGGGAACUGGAACUUCCGGUGGAGCGGUGAAAUGCGUUGAGAUCGGAAGGAACGCCCGUGGCGAAAGCGAGUUCCUGGACGUCGGCUGACGCUGAGACGCGAAAGCCAGGGGAGCGAACGGG
This 254-nucleotide ribosomal RNA is filed under the name uncultured bacterium. RNAcentral describes it as "partial 16S ribosomal RNA". It matches the Rfam family "Bacterial small subunit ribosomal RNA", at positions 524 to 776 of the family's 1533-position model. The record is from RNAcentral.